Rhopilema esculentum is the source of this 4966-nucleotide non-coding RNA. The record is from RefSeq and is a predicted model, not a curated record. NCBI's taxonomy places the organism in Eukaryota, Metazoa, Cnidaria, Scyphozoa, Rhizostomeae, Rhizostomatidae.
UUUUACUGAUUUUGGCGGGAACUUAGUUCAAGUUUGCAUAUGCUUAUUACUGGCUUUUAGGCCAUUCGAUUUGUUGACACAAAGCUUCGAAGGAGAGCGAAAAAAAGCUAGUUAAUGCUAAAUUGCAGAUCACUUCACAGUUCUAAAGUCUCCAGUUUUCUUUUGAUAAACCUCACAGAUCAGGCACGGCGGAGCAGGGGGCGGGCUGGGGGGCUUUAGCCCCCCACUUUUUGCAACAAAUGCCAAAUUUUAAGUAUUACCAGUAACUACCAGAAAAGCCUCUUUUUAUACGGUUUUAGCCCCCCCCCCACAUUUUUUAGACCCCCCACUUUUCUCAACGCUCUGCGGUGCCUGUAGAUGAAAUCCACAUAAAGCAGUUUGGUUAUAAAACACAGCUUGGCAACCAGUUUUACUGCAAAUUUUUAAGGAAAAAAUGAAGGCCGUGCACAUUUUCUUUAAAGCGUUAAUCUAAACCAGGAAGUGUUGGAUAUAGGCAGAUGAAUACUGGUUUGUGUUAUUAUUGGAGAUCAAAGAGAAGAAGAAACAUCCGUUUUGCCUUGCUUCAAGUGCAACAUGUGUGAUGAAUUCCUGAGAGCAAGAAGUUAAUAAGGUCAACAUGUCAAGUGUGGUGAAAUUCCGCAAGCAAGUCAAUGAGAGAGGCUAAACAAGGCCAAAAGGGAAUUUGGGCCUUAUGGAGGUAGUACCUAAAUUCAUUGUGCAGUUUAUUGCAUAUACACAUUUCUUCCAUGCUAUUGACAAAAGAUUGAAGGUCUUUUUACGUUUAAUUUGUAAUAAUCAGCGCCGUUAGAAUUGUUUUUCCUUCCAAUAUGUGACCAUUUUAAAAAUUCUAGAGAUUUACUUUUUAUGGAAAAUCAACACUGAUAAAAAGUCCCAAUUUUUUCAAAAAACAGCUUCCACUGCAUAUCUACAUUGAUUUCUACUCAAUUUUUAUCGUUUUGAGUCAAUUUUUGAGCAAAAAAUCCGCUUCUUAACUUGACCAUUUUUCCAAGACUGUAGACUUACUGUUUAAGGAGAAUUAACAGUAGCAAAAAGUCUUUGUAUAUUUGACGAUUUGGCAAUUAUUCCAGAAGCUUUUUGCUGCAAAGCUUUUGAUCGAUCAUCUUCUUACUUACAUAUCACAAUUAUCUGCAAUCUUUGGCUUACAUUUUCUUACUCAACAGCUCAACAAUCUCGAAAUCAGCAAGGCUGAUUUUACAUUUUAAAUCUUGAUGUGUUUUUUUUACCCUAUGCAAGUUUUUUCUCCACCUCCAGAAGAUGGAAAAGCUGAUCUUAGUCAAAUAAUCUAAAACAAAGAUAAUUGAAAUAUUUAAGAGUAAAAUUUUGGAAGUUUACUUUUGGACAGUCCAAUUUUGAACAUCUUUGUUAGCAAAAAUUAUUCCUUGCCAUAAAAAUAUUUGUUUUGCUAAGACUUGUUUAUUGUAUUUCAAUCAACAAUAACUAUGCCAGAGGUAUAUGGUCUCUGCAAUCUAACGAGAAUACAAAUGCAGCCAAAUCUGCAAGAAUGAUUAAAGCAAUUUUAUAAAAUUUAAUAAACAUAAAAAUGAACAGUAUAAGGGUGAGCCAACGACCAAAAACAAUUAAAAGUGUCUAUAUCGUACAUUUCUUUAAGAGUUUUUUAAACUUUUUCACGUAUCAAAAUUUGUCGAAUUCUUUCUUGCAUUUAGUAAAAUGAUGAAUUACAUAAGAUAUAGAACGCUCAUUUACUUCAUAUAGACUAGUAAAUAUUUAAAAUGAAAAUUUUGGAACUUCCUGCUUGCAAGAAUCGAAUGUUUUUGACACAUUUGGCAAUGGUUUAUCAUAAGAUUUUUUAAAAGCAACCUGAAAAACUUUUUUCAAUAAAUUAUUAUUUUGAUAUGAUAUUAUAUGAAUUUCAAGAAAAUAUUGUCUGUUUCAGUUUUAAUUCCUUUCAUAAAAUUAUGAAAAAUUGUAUCUUUUAUUGUUGUUUUGUUGUUUUGUUGCUUUGGCAGGUGAUGUUGCUUUGGCAAAACUCGCCAGCUUCUUUGUCGAUGGCAUACAUUUGAUAUGAUUCAAAGAGAAGCUGUUUUUUAUUUCAGUAAUUUUCUUGCGUUUAAUGCGAAAAGUGUGGAAUAAUUUGACUUAAAAUGUAGGAACAUCGUUGUUGGUACCAGUUUUCUCAAUCUAUUGGUGUUAUCAUUGUAUGAACAAUUAUCAAUUUAUUAUCGUGAUAGCUGUUAUAAAAAAGAGCCAAAAUUUUAAGGGAUUAACCUCGAUCCUUUAUUUCUUUCAGAUUCCAAUCUGUGUCGAGUUGCAUCUUGUUUUUCAAAAAAGAGAGACUAGAAACCAACAAUAUUUUUGUGCACUGAUUUUGUAAAAUGUGAAGAUCUUUGACAACACAAGCAGUAACCAAAACACCAAAGAGGGUCCAGAGGUGAAAAAUAUGGAUUGCGAAAUUGGACAUUCAAAGAAGUCCCACGAGGUGUACCUCGAUUGUUAGGCGAAGGUUGGAUCAAAGGAUGCAAAACGUGAAGUGAUUCUUACUUAUUUUCAGUACAGAUAUAAAAACAAAAAGAUGGACUCCCAAUUGAUUUCUUUUCAAAACACUGAUAAAACAGGGCGUUGACAACUAUUAAAGAUUAGGGGGUUUAAACAAGCAAAAUAUCAUCAUACAACGUCCUUAGGCCAUUAGAAAUAUAUGUUGAAUAGUUGUACAAUCUUUCACAAGAUCCUACAAACAAAUCCUGAAGAAUCGAGAAAUAUUAAGACUCCGCGCCACCUAAAUAUAUAGAAAAACUGAAGGUCGCAUUAAAUGCACUGGUCAUAAAUUUUGGGAUUUAUUUUUAGCAUAUUCUUAAAUUUUGGGAUAUCAUUUUUAAAAUAAAGGGGGUUUUAUUUACUUGAUUGAGUUGUUGCAUUUUUGCAAAUUUGAAUUAAAUUUAAAGGUGUAUAUUUCAUAUUGUAUCGAAAUUUGUGGGUAGGAUUUUAAAAAUGCAACAACACUGUGAUAUUACAAAAUGGCACACCCCCGUCCUUCGCCUAUUGAAAUUCCCUGUGGUGUGAAGGAGAUCAUCAUUGGCGGGAAAUUUGAAUGAAUUUUGGCGGAAUGGCUGGUGGAUGCACAGGAGACUUUUGUUUCAGAAUUUGGCGGGAAUCUAGUCCAAAUUUGCAUAUGCUUAUAAAUACCUGGUUUCUUUGCUAUUCAAUUAGUUGGCACAAAAGAUCGAAGAUGAGGUGCUGGUGCAAAACUCUCAUGUCUUCAUCUUGGCCUAGAACGGCAUGUAAACCUAGGAUAAUGGAGUGAACACAGAAAAGCGACAAGUUAAAAGUGAUUCGUUGACCCGACGUCAAUCAUAGCUCUUGGCGGGGAACAGGUGACUCUUAGGUGUCAGUUAAAGGUGAAAGAAAAGCUAAUUGGCCCUCAAUGUUACCAUUGGCAACAAAUCUGCAAGUUCAACAUGUCAAGUGUGGCGAAUUCUUGUGAACUAGAGAUCAGUAAGAUCAUUAUCUCAAGUUUUAUGAAGUCUCAUGAGCAAGAUGUUACUAAGGACUAGAAUUUAAGAUGUCUUGGAAUUUAAUGAACACGGUGCCGUCAAGGGUAAACUGCUUGAUGUCAUUAAACAAUAUACUGUUUGUGAAAUACACCCGCAAGAAGGGCAAAGAAUAACAUGCUGCUUGUCUAGAAACAAUCAACUGUUGUUUGUGAAAGUCACCAGCAAAACAUACAAAGGGCUAGCAUUUAAGAUGUCUUGGAAUUGAAUGAAUAAGGUGCCAUUAAGCUCUUCAUUUUGUUUACAAGAGCUGGAUGUCCAUGAGCAAUUAUCUACUGUCUGUGAAGUUCACCUGCAAGACAUGCAAAGGGUAAACUGCUGGUCGUCUGGAAACAAAAAUCUGCUGGUUGGAAAAGUCACCUCGAAAACACUCAAAGGGCAAAUUCUGGCUGUCCAGAAACAAUAAGCUGCUGUUUGUGAAAGUCACCAGCUAAACUUGCAAAGAUGUUGGCGAAAAGAGAGCAAAUGCGAGGAAGAAGCAACCCAAUCAAUCAAACGAAGAUGAUGCCAAAUGUUUUCUGCAUAAUUUCAUUAAGACUUAACAGCCAAAAGGCUAAAGUCAUUUAGAAACUAGAAAUUCAUCAUCAUGAACCGUGGUCCACAUGUAGAAAAGCAAAAGAAUCGUUUACCCGACGGAAACCUUUCAAAUCGCUAGCCAGUUUCAAAAACAUGCCCAGAGAAGGCUUUAAGGUCUCUGAAGUCUUUGAAGAAGCAGAAAGACGUUUUGGUCCACUCUGCAGUUUUGCAAAGAACAAGAAGCAGCAAAAGACGUCAAAUUGAGAUCCAGCUACCAGCAAAAGACGAGAAAGUUGUCGUGCUAGAAAGUUGUCGUGCUUUGGAAACUAGUUGCAAAAAAGAACAAGAAAAGGCAUUUGUCCAGGUGCCCCAGAACAGAUAAAAGCGGGACAUUUCCUUUAGUGUAAAUUACUAUAUGUAUUUUUAGUACAUGUUUCUGGUUCUUCUGGAGAAUUAUUGCAGCAUUUCAAGCACAAACAGUUCUUGUAGUGUAGUUUGUUUUAAUGUUUGGCCUUUUUCUAAUGGCCAGUUUUUUUGCUAGAAAACCACAUGUUUAUCUGGGAAAAACGAUAGAGCAGCAUUUCGAGCACAUGAGACAACGACACAUUAGAACUUUAGAACUUUUUCCAAUUUUCUUCUAGAGACUUUGCAGCGAUUCUUGUAGAGUAAAUUAUUUUGAUAUUUGUCAUUACGUAAAACUUGUUUCUUAAAUCACAUGUCUCCCAAGACUUCUUCAGGAGAGUAACUGUUAGAACUUAUAGGCUUGUAGGCUUUUUGGAAAUCGCUGUUUAUCUUGUAGGCCAUGUUUAUCUUGUAGGCCAUGUUUAUCUUGUAGGCCUUGUUUUUCUGAGUCUUAUUUUUUGCGUCUCUCUCUCGUAUACUUAAACAAAAACACAACAUUCCAAUAACAACAAUACACAGCA